Molecule: ribosomal RNA, 433 nt
Filed under: uncultured bacterium
Lineage: Bacteria
Description: partial 16S ribosomal RNA
Rfam family: Bacterial small subunit ribosomal RNA
Source: RNAcentral
AACGAACGCUGGCGGCAUGCCUAACGCAUGCAAGUCGAACGAGACCUUCGGGUCUAGUGGCGCACGGGUGCGUAACGCGUGGGAACCUGCCCUUAGGUUCAGAAUAACUCCCCGAAAGGGGUGCUAAUACCGGAUAAUGUCUUCGGACCAAAGAUUUAUCGCCUUUGGAUGGGCCCGCGUUGGAUUAGCUAGUUGGUAGGGUAAAAGCCUACCAAGGCGACGAUCCAUAGCUGGUCUGAGAGGAUGAUCAGCCACACUGGGACUGAGACACGGCCCAGACUCCUACGGGAGGCAGCAGUGGGGAAUAUUGGACAAUGGGCGAAAGCCUGAUCCAGCAAUGCCGCGUGAGUGAUGAAGGCCUUAGGGUUGUAAAGCUCUUUUACCCGGGAUGAUAAUGACAGUACCGGGAGAAUAAGCUCCGGCUAACUCCGUG